GGGUGGCAAGUACGGCUAAUGGAAGCGAGGGCCUUAUGCUUGUUGUUCAGUGGUGCGAAAUGUCUUGCAACUGAGAUUUGAUCUCACAACAGAAUAGAAGCUAAUGGUCCUGAUUCUCCUCUCACACCUUUUGGCUGGUGUAAAUCCAUUUGGUCUCCAAUAGGCUGUGAUCGGUGCAGGUAUGCUGACUGCAAACACAGACGCACGUGGUCCCAGUGCACCUUGAUAUUGAGCCUUUUUAUGUAAACUUGAUUGGCACAUUUUAAAUGUGUUUUAGGCUGUCUGUUGCCGCCCAGGCCGCAUUGAACGUACCAUGCACCAAGGUCAUUUCUGCAGCAUAUUCCUAAGCUGCACUAAUACGAGACAGUAAGCUUAACUUGCCUGCCAGCAAGACAAAGCUGAGCAGGGAGUUGCUUAGACUUCCUUUCUUCUCCCUUAUUUCUGCUGCCACCACUGCGGAGAAACAACCUGCAUGUAGCCCUGCUUCUUAGCCUCAACAGGAAGCUCAAGAACAACCAUGUUUAGAAUGGGCACUAUCCAUGUGACCUAAAUCCACAGCUGUGACAUCUCCGUGAUGUCCAUGCGACAUCUUUGGCUGCAUUUUGAUACGCAUGGAGUGAGUCUCUUUGGGGCUCUGUGUGUAGAAUCUGACAGUUAGACUGUGUUCCCAAAAAGAGAGAUCCCUCCCUGAGGACUUGCAUGUGUCAGAGAGCAGACCUGAGAAAUUGUCUUUUUUCUGGAGUGUUUGGAUGAUAAUAGGGAUCUGGAAGGAGGUGGAAUCGUAAGUGGGUUCCCUAGAACUGUAACUGGACCAACAUGUUCAGCCUGUAGUCUGGGAACUAUCUGGAUCACAGUGCCACGGCUGAUUCUUUUUUGCCUGUUACAGUGCAAUGGAAUGCGUUUAGGACUUCAUGUUUCCAGCCCACGGGAGGAGAAAAGCUCUUAGGCCAGUCCUCUGACAUCAAAUUCCAAGCAAAAAAAGUCACCUUAAACGAGAGCGUGGAAGCACUCAGCAAUCAGGAAAUGGAGAGUGACAGGCUAAUCAACCUCCAGUCCGCAUCUACUGUCUUAAUUCCUCAACUAAGACAAAUUCAGGACCCAAAACUUACCAGAAGUCGAAGCGAGAGGCAGAGUCCAAGUUCCGAAGCCCGAGGUCAAAGCAGGAGGCAGAAUCCAAGCCUAAAAGCCAGGGUUCAAGGGGGAAAGCCAGAGGUCUGAGUCAGGGUUGAAGUCCAGGAGUGAGUCAAGGGGCAGGUUAGUCGCUACAGCUGGCUAGGGAGUCUAUGCAGCUAGGUGAACACGUCCUGAAACUUCUCUUGGGCUUAAACAGGGCACCUAGGCCAAUCAGGGACCACAAGGGAAGUGAUCAGUCUGGCAUUCCGUAUUGAUACUUCCUGUGGUGUUUAUCUCCACAGGGUCAAUGUGAUAAUGCAUAUGGCUCUAUCAUGGCUGUCCGGUAACUCUGUAGAGAGGCUGUCUGCCCCUCAGGCCCAGGAUCUAGUCCCUACAGAACCUUACACUGAUAUUCCAGCCUCAACCCCCUGGAGAAACCGUGCACCAGAGGAAUUCUCAGCUGGGGAGAGGAGAAGGGGCCUGACCCAGAAUCAGAGCCAACACUUUCAUCAGUUCACUGAGACCAAGAACAUUCCUUGUGCAAUAAAGCGUAGUUAUUCCCAGCAGCAAGUAGGGGCAGCAUAAAUGCCAGCGUAUCUGAUGGCAGAAUCCAUCAUAACCAGGAUAUAUUUCUUCCCAUUUCUGGAAGGUCUGGGUAGAGGUCCCACAAUAUCUACAGAAACUCUGGCAAACACUUCCUUGGUGAUGGGCAAAGUCUGAAAAGGUGACUUGCAGGGUCCUUUUAACCCCUUAUGCUUUGACAUAAAACAUAGCACUUGCUUAGUUCCUUUGGUUUGGGAAUUUAUCCCCCUCCUUCCAUGUGCUCUGAGCUGCAACCUCAUCUGAUGGGGGGAGUUCACUUGCAUGACUCAUCUUCACGGGAGGAAAGCAAAACAAUAAAAGUCUUUAGUCCUUUUGUUGAUGGGUUUUCAAUCCAGAUGUAGGGAGUUUCCAGUUGUAAGAUCCAACCCUAACCCAUCUGGUAUUGAAGGGUCUCCUCUGUGGGAAGGGGCAUAACAAUUUCUAUAGAAGAGCCACUCUUCACACUAAUGCCCCUCUCCUGUAUGGAGAUUUAUACAGUCACAGAUAUUACAAGUAAGAUUAAUGCAUUGUUGUGGUAUCAUUAAAAGUAACUAUAUACCAAGGCCUAAAACACCCAGAGCGCCUAAAAUUUUGUAACAGGAAAAGCAUUGAUAAGAUUUGGCUGUACAAAUUUUUUUGGACUUUGUGUAAAAUAAAAAAAUCCCCUGACAACUUUGUGUUUGCAGAAAAUAAGAAAUGUUAACAUUGAAGAAUCAGAAGAUGCUCUCUAAAAUUCCCUUCCUAAUAGACUAAGGGGGACGGUAAUAUACACAAACUGAUCUAUAACAUUGAAACGAAGGAUUGUUAACGAUCAGAGUUAAAAGCUUCAUUAGCUAUAUUUGUAAUGAAUUGAGUAAGGUAACAGGCAGGCCCAGGUUUUGCCUGGCAUCAGUGUAUUUUUGUUAUUUUCUUUUUAAUAUAACUGACUGAUUUGUUUAAAAUGCUGUUGUUAGCAGGAUAACUAAUGUGUCAUGUUAGAAGAUGUAAGAAAUAGAUACAAACAUGUAAUGAUCAACAAAAUCUUCCUUUUUCUGGGAAAUUUAAAAACUGGAUGACCCAGGGCAAAAGGACCCAGAAAUUAUAAAUUCAGCAGGAAAAGUGUGGGCAUUCAGUGAUUAAUGUUUGUGCAUGUGUAAUAUACAGGUUAUGUAAAAUUCAAUGGAUAAUGUGUUCAAUGCUGAUGGGAGGAAAAUUAGGUAGUGGAAAAUGUAAAAAUGUAUAAGUAUAUGUAAAAUGGCCCCCCAAAAACUGGAGAAACCCUGGGUCAAAAACUGAAGAACAAGACUAAAAGACCAGAGCAGGAGCUCAGAGGAGGUGACAAAUGUCAUGGAGGAAGGAUGGACUUCUUGGUGCACUGGAGCCCAUUUAUCUAUUCUGUCUUGUCUGUUAUUACGUGUCUGGUAUGAAUGUAUGUGCCAGACACUACAAGUGGUGAUAAUUCU
Chrysemys picta bellii (western painted turtle) is the source of this 3137-nucleotide non-coding RNA. NCBI's taxonomy places the organism in Eukaryota, Metazoa, Chordata, Testudines, Emydidae. The record is from RefSeq and is a predicted model, not a curated record.